UACAGAGGGUGCAAGCGUUAAUCGGAAUUACUGGGCGUAAAGCGUGCGCAGACGGUUGCGUAAGUCAGAUGUGAAAGCCCCGGGCUCAACCUGGGAAUUGCAUUUGAGACUGCGUAGCUAGGGUGCGGAAGAGGGAAGCGGAAUUUCCGGUGUAGCGGUGAAAUGCGUAGAUAUCGGAAGGAACACCAGGGGCGAAAGCGGGUUCCUGGUCCAGCACCGACGUUCAGGCACGAAAGCGUGGGGAGCAAACAGG
RNAcentral lists this ribosomal RNA (253 nucleotides) under uncultured bacterium. Its description in RNAcentral is "partial 16S ribosomal RNA". It matches the Rfam family "Bacterial small subunit ribosomal RNA", at positions 524 to 776 of the family's 1533-position model. The record is from RNAcentral.